UGGCGGCGUGCUUAACACAUGCAAGUGGAGCGACGAACCGGGCUUCGGCCCGGGGCAAAGCCGCGAACGGGUGAGUAACACGUGGGUAACCCGCCCUGAAGACCGGGACAACCCGAGGAAACUCGGGCUAAUACCGGAUGUGUUCACUGUCCACAAGAACAGUGAGAAAAGGAAGCUUCGGCCUCCGCUUCAGGAUGGGCCCGCGGCCCAUUAGCUUGUUGGUGAGGUAACGGCUCACCAAGGCUGCGAUGGGUAGCUGGUCUGAGAGGACGAUCAGCCACACUGGGACUGAGACACGGCCAGACUCCUACGGGAGGCAGCAGUGGGGAAUUUUGCGCAAUGCGCGACAGCGUGACGCAGCAACGCCGCGUGGGGGAAGAAGGCCUUCGGGUUGUAAACCUCUUUCAGGAGGGACGAAGCUUCGGCAGCGAGUAGCUGUCCGGAGUGACGGUACCUCCACAAGAAGCCCCGGCUAACUACGUGCCAGCAGCCGCGGUAAUACGUAGGGGGCUAGCGUUGUCCGGAAUCAUUGGGCGUAAAGCGCGCGUAGGCGGCCAGAUAAGUCCGGUGUGAAAGUCACAGGCUCAACCUGUGAAUGCCGCUGGAAACUGUCUGGCUAGAGUCCGGAAGGGGCGAGUGGAAUUCCUGGUGUAGCGGUGAAAUGCGCAGAUAUCAGGAGGAACACCAAUGGCGAAGGCAGCUCGCUGGGACGGUACUGACGCUGAGGCGCGAAAGCGUGGGGAGCGAACAGGAUUAGAUACCCUGGUAGUCCACGCCGUAAACGAUGGGUACUAGGUGUAGGAGGUGUCGACUCCUCCUGUGCCGAAGCUAACGCAUUAAGUACCCCGCCUGGGGAGUACGGCCGCAAGGCUAAACUCAA
RNAcentral lists this ribosomal RNA (880 nucleotides) under uncultured bacterium. RNAcentral describes it as "bacterial SSU rRNA". It matches the Rfam family "Bacterial small subunit ribosomal RNA", at positions 37 to 904 of the family's 1533-position model. The record is from RNAcentral.